This 512-nucleotide ribosomal RNA is filed under the name uncultured bacterium. RNAcentral's name for it is "partial 16S ribosomal RNA". It matches the Rfam family "Bacterial small subunit ribosomal RNA", at positions 28 to 523 of the family's 1533-position model. The record is from RNAcentral.
GACGAACGCUGGCGGCGUGCCUAAUACAUGCAAGUCGAGCGAAUCAAUGGGAGCUUGCUCCUGUUGAUUAGCGGCGGACGGGUGAGUAACACGUGGGCAACCUGCCUGUAAGACUGGGAUAACUUCGGGAAACCGGAGCUAAUACCGGAUAAUCCUUUUCCUCUCAUGAGGAAAAGCUGAAAGUCGGUUUCGGCUGACACUUACAGAUGGGCACGCGGCGCAUUAGCUAGUUGGUGAGGGAACGGCUCACCAAGGCGACGAUGCGUAGCCGACCUGAGAGGGUGAUCGGCCACACUGGGACUGAGACACGGCCCAGACUCCUACGGGAGGCAGCAGUAGGGAAUCUUCCGCAAUGGACGAAAGUCUGACGGAGCAACGCCGCGUGAGCGAUGAAGGCCUUCGGGUCGUAAAGCUCUGUUGUUAGGGAAGAACAAGUAUCGGAGUAACUGCCGGUACCUUGACGGUACCUAACCAGAAAGCCACGGCUAACUACGUGCCAGCCGCCGCGGUAA